Molecule: ribosomal RNA, 430 nt
Filed under: Pseudomonadota bacterium
Lineage: Bacteria; Pseudomonadati; Pseudomonadota
Description: Proteobacteria bacterium partial 16S ribosomal RNA
Rfam family: Bacterial small subunit ribosomal RNA
Source: RNAcentral
UGGGGAAUAUUGGACAAUGGGCGCAAGCCUGAUCCAGCCAUGCCGCGUGUGUGAAGAAGGCCUUAUGGUUGUAAAGCACUUUAAGCGAGGAGGAGGGUACUGGUAUUAAUACUACCAGGUACUGGACGUUACUCGCAGAAUAAGCACCGGCUAACUCUGUGCCAGCAGCCGCGGUAAUACAGAGGGUGCAAGCGUUAAUCGGAUUUACUGGGCGUAAAGCGCGCGUAGGCGGCUAAUUAAGUCAAAUGUGAAAUCCCCGAGCUUAACUUGGGAAUUGCAUUCGAUACUGGUUAGCUAGAGUGUGGGAGAGGAUGGUAGAAUUCCAGGUGUAGCGGUGAAAUGCGUAGAGAUCUGGAGGAAUACCGAUGGCGAAGGCAGCCAUCUGGCCUAACACUGACGCUGAGGUGCGAAAGCAUGGGGAGCAAACAGG